RNAcentral lists this ribosomal RNA (464 nucleotides) under uncultured bacterium. RNAcentral's name for it is "partial 16S ribosomal RNA". It matches the Rfam family "Bacterial small subunit ribosomal RNA", at positions 339 to 795 of the family's 1533-position model. The record is from RNAcentral.
CUACGGGCGGCAGCAGUGGGGAAUAUUGGACAAUGGGGGAAACCCUGAUCCAGCAAUGCCGCGUGUGCGAUGAAGGCCUGCGGGUUGUAAAGCACUUUCGGUAGGGAGGAAAGGCUUAAAUCUAAUACAUUUGAGAGAUGACGUUACCUACAAAAGAAGCACCGGCAAACUCUGUGCCAGCAGCCGCGGUAAUACAGAGGGUGCAAGCGUUAGUCGGAGUUACUGGGCGUAAAGGGCGCGUAGGCGGAUGCCUUAGUCGGUUGUGAAAUACCUGGGCUUAACCUGGGAACUGCAGUCGAUACUGGGUGUCUGGAGUAUGGUAGAGGAAAGUGGAAUUCUCGGUGUAGUGGUUACAUACGUAGAUAUCGAGAGGAACAUCGGUGGCGAAGGCGGCUUUCUGGGCCAAUACUGACGCUGAGGCGCGAAAGCGUGGGGAGCAAACAGGAUUAGAUACCCGCGUAGUC